RNAcentral lists this ribosomal RNA (279 nucleotides) under uncultured bacterium. RNAcentral describes it as "partial 16S ribosomal RNA". It matches the Rfam family "Bacterial small subunit ribosomal RNA", at positions 506 to 784 of the family's 1533-position model. The record is from RNAcentral.
UGCCAGCCGCCGCGGUAAUACGGAGGGUGCAAGCGUUGUUCGGGAUUACUGGGCGUAAAGCGCGCGUAGGCGGCUUUUUAAGUCAGAUGUGAAAGUCCACGGCUCAACCGUGGAAGUGCAUUUGAAACUGGAUGGCUUGAGUACUGGAGGGGGUGGUGGAAUUCCCGGUGUAGAGGUGAAAUCCGUAGAUAUCGGGAGGAAUACCGGUGGCGAAGGCGACCACCUGGCCAGAUACUGACGCUGAGGCGCGAAGGCGUGGGUAGCGAACAGGAUUAGAUA